UCAACAAGCGAGCGCCGAGCUUCGGUACCUAAAGGGGGAUUGCCCCUACGGACUGGAAGCCGCAGUCAGAGAAUGCAUAACUGGCUGCCAGGGCUGUAGAAGAAAUUCUGCUGCCUCCCGCGAUUGGAAAGGUGUUCUAUGCAACCAUUG
This 150-nucleotide non-coding RNA is filed under the name Endozoicomonas elysicola. Its description in RNAcentral is "MoCo sequence". It matches the Rfam family "Molybdenum/Tungsten riboswitch aptamer (Moco RNA motif)". The record is from Rfam by way of RNAcentral. Lineage: Bacteria; Pseudomonadati; Pseudomonadota; Gammaproteobacteria; Oceanospirillales; Endozoicomonadaceae.